This 429-nucleotide ribosomal RNA is filed under the name bacterium. RNAcentral's name for it is "partial 16S ribosomal RNA". It matches the Rfam family "Bacterial small subunit ribosomal RNA", at positions 355 to 776 of the family's 1533-position model. The record is from RNAcentral.
UAGGGAAUCUUCCACAAUGGACGAAAGUCUGAUGGAGCAACGCCGCGUGAGUGAAGAAGGGUUUCGGCUCGUAAAACUCUGUUGUUAAAGAAGAACAUAUCUGAGAGUAACUGUUCAGGUAUUGACGGUAUUUAACCAGAAAGCCACGGCUAACUACGUGCCAGCAGCCGCGGUAAUCCGGAGGUGGCAAGCGUUGUCCGGAUUUAUUGGGCGUAAAGCGAGCGCAGGCGGUUUUUUAAGUCUGAUGUGAAAGCCUUCGGCUCAACCGAAGAAGUGCAUCGGAAACUGGGAAACUUGAGUGCAGAAGAGGAAAGUGGAACUCCAUGUGUAGCGGUGAAAUGCGUAGAUAUAUGGAAGAACACCAGUGGCGAAGGCGGCUGUCUGGUCUGUAACUGACGCUGAGGCUCGAAAGUAUGGGUAGCAAACAGG